Molecule: unclassified non-coding RNA, 299 nt
Filed under: Hevea brasiliensis (rubber tree)
Lineage: Eukaryota; Viridiplantae; Streptophyta; Magnoliopsida; Malpighiales; Euphorbiaceae
Source: RNAcentral
GCUAAUUUUGCUGUUAAUAUUAUGUGUCACUUUUACCUACGAAAUUGUGUUAUCGGUAAAUUGUUCAUUGGUAAUUAGUCGAAAAUUUCAUUGGUAUAAAUUGGUUUAAAUUUUAUUUCUUUUUUUCGUUGGUAAAGCGCCGGUAAAUCGUUAGUAAAUUACCAACAAAAUUUGGUGGUUAGUAAUUUUUGUAGUUAUUUUAAAAAUUUCUUAUAGUAAGAGCAUCUGAUGCUCUUCAUUGGAUAUGAUCAAAAUAUUUUAAUCCACUCUUUCAUUAACAUGGAUUGAUCAAGUUUAAU